UCGGCUUAGAGUUUGAUCAUGGCUCAGAUUGAACGCUGGCGGCAGGCUUAACACAUGCAAGUCGAACGGUAAAGUAGCUUGCUACUUACGAGUGGCGGACGGGUGAGUAACGUAUAGGAAUUUACCGAAUGGAGGGGGACAACAGUUGGAAACGGCUGCUAAUACCGCAUAACGUCGAGAGACCAAAGGGUUUCGACUUGCCAUUUGAUGAGCCCAUAUGAGAUUAGCUAGUUGGUGGGGUAAUGGCUCACCGAGGCGACGAUCUCUAGCUGGUU
This 275-nucleotide ribosomal RNA is filed under the name uncultured Enterobacteriaceae bacterium. RNAcentral's name for it is "partial 16S ribosomal RNA". It matches the Rfam family "Bacterial small subunit ribosomal RNA", at positions 1 to 292 of the family's 1533-position model. Lineage: Bacteria; Pseudomonadati; Pseudomonadota; Gammaproteobacteria; Enterobacterales; Enterobacteriaceae. The record is from RNAcentral.